Molecule: transfer RNA, 94 nt
Filed under: Nitrososphaerota archaeon
Lineage: Archaea; Thermoproteati; Nitrososphaerota
Description: tRNA-Phe
Rfam family: tRNA
About the family: Transfer RNA (tRNA) molecules are approximately 80 nucleotides in length. Their secondary structure includes four short double-helical elements and three loops (D, anti-codon, and T loops).
Source: RNAcentral
GCCAAGGUAGCUCAGAGACGCUAGUCGCCGGGAAACCUGGGAGAGCCCCCGGCUGAAGACCGGGUUGUCGUCGGUUCAAAUCCGACCCUUGGCA